AAUCUACUCUACAAUUUGAUAUGUAUGUUAUUUAUUUUUGGUAGUAAACCAUUUUUACCUACUUUUGGUUUUCAAAUGACAAACUAUAUUAAAAAUUCCAUAAAUAGAUGGAGUAGUAAUUAAAUACAUUUUGGUGUUUAAAUUUUAAAUUUCCGUCAUUUCUUUGACGAGAUAUUUCACUUUUUAGUUUAGGUUGAAGGACAAUAGUGGUGUAUUACUAACAUCCCCACACAAAUGAUACUCUUCUCUUACU
Molecule: non-coding RNA, 253 nt
Organism: Cinara cedri
Lineage: Eukaryota; Metazoa; Arthropoda; Insecta; Hemiptera; Aphididae
Source: the annotation of a GenBank genome assembly